GUGAGGAAUAUUGGUCAAUGGGCUAAGGCCUGAACCAGCCAAGUCGCGUGAGGGAAGACGGUCCUAUGGAUUGUAAACCUCUUUUGUCGGGGAGCAACGAGGCCACGUGUGGCCGAAGUGAGAGUACCCGAAGAAAAAGCAUCGGCUAACUCCGUGCCAGCAGCCGCGGUAAUACGGAGGAUGCGAGCGUUAUCCGGAUUUAUUGGGUUUAAAGGGUGCGUAGGCGGAACAUUAAGUCAGCGGUAAAAUCGAGGGGCUCAACCCCUUUAAGCCGUUGAAACUGGUGAUCUUGAGUGGGCGAGAAGUAUGCGGAAUGCGUGGUGUAGCGGUGAAAUGCAUAGAUAUCACGCAGAACUCCGAUUGCGAAGGCAGCGCACCGGCGCCCAACUGACGCUGAAGCACGAAAGCGUGGGUAUCGAACAGGA
This 425-nucleotide ribosomal RNA is filed under the name uncultured bacterium. RNAcentral describes it as "bacterial SSU rRNA". It matches the Rfam family "Bacterial small subunit ribosomal RNA", at positions 354 to 777 of the family's 1533-position model. The record is from RNAcentral.